AUUAUGAUGACGACAAUGACGAUAGUGGCAAUCAUUUAUUAAGCAUUGCCCUGGCCUAAGGCACCACAUGGGUCAUUUCUUCCAGGCUCCAACUUGCUUCUGCUUUGCCAUAUGGUAACACGCCGUAUUAUGGAAGAACCAUCAUUACCGCCAUCUGCAGGGGAAGCCUAAAGAGGUGAUUUGAUAGUGUGGUUUCGGAUUACAGCCUGGCUUCCUGGGGUGAUCCAUCACAAGAAUAAAGAGUAUUGAUAAGGCCAAUGGGUGCACUUCCAGAACACCAAGCUUCCCGAGGUGCCUAUGCAGGGAUAUUGCUUCUCCGUAUUCAGACCUCUCC
RNAcentral lists this long non-coding RNA (334 nucleotides) under Gorilla gorilla gorilla (western lowland gorilla). RNAcentral describes it as "lncRNA (ENSGGOG00000044238.1)". Lineage: Eukaryota; Metazoa; Chordata; Mammalia; Primates; Hominidae. The record is from RNAcentral.